GACGAACGCUGGCGGCGCGCUUAACACAUGCCAGUCGAGCGGAAAGGCCUGCUUUCCCUUGUGGAUUGCGGGUACUCGAGUGGCGAACGGGUGAGUAACACGUGAGUGAUCUGCCCCCAACUUGGGUAUAAGCCUGGGAAACUGGGUCUAAUUCCCGAUAGGACUGCAGGGUGGUGCCUGUGGUGGAAAACGAUUUUCUAGUGGUUGGGGAUGAGCUCGCGGCCUAUCAGCUUGUUGGUGGGGUAAUGGCCUACCAAGGCGGCGACGGGUAGCCGGCCUGGGAGGGUGGACGGCCACAUUGGGACUGAGAUACGGCCCAGACUCCUACGGGAGGCAGCAGUGGGGAAUAUUGCACAAUGGGCGGAAGCCUGAUGCAGCGACGCCGCGUGGGGGAUGACGGCCUUCGGGUUGUAAACUCCUUUCGACCGCGAGGAAGCCACCUGGUUGGAAGGGUGGUGACGGUAGUGGUAGAAGAAGCACCGGCUAACUACGUG
This 494-nucleotide ribosomal RNA is filed under the name uncultured bacterium. RNAcentral describes it as "partial 16S ribosomal RNA". It matches the Rfam family "Bacterial small subunit ribosomal RNA", at positions 28 to 507 of the family's 1533-position model. The record is from RNAcentral.